This 429-nucleotide ribosomal RNA is filed under the name Actinomycetes bacterium. Its description in RNAcentral is "Actinobacteria bacterium partial 16S ribosomal RNA". It matches the Rfam family "Bacterial small subunit ribosomal RNA", at positions 355 to 776 of the family's 1533-position model. The record is from RNAcentral. Lineage: Bacteria; Bacillati; Actinomycetota; Actinomycetes.
UAGGGAAUCUUCCGCAAUGGGCGAAAGCUUGACGGAGCAACGCCGCGUGAGUGAUGAAGGUCUUCGGAUCGUAAAACUCUGUUAUUAGGGAAGAACAAAUGUGUAAGUAACUAUGCACGUCUUGACGGUACCUAAUCAGAAAGCCACGGCUAACUACGUGCCAGCAGCCGCGGUAAUACGUAGGUGGCCAGCGUUAUCCGGAAUUAUUGGGCGUAAAGCGCGCGUAGGCGGUUUUUUAAGUGUGAUGUGAAAGCCCACGGCUCAACCGUGGAGGGUAAUUGGAAACUGGAAGACUUGAGUGCAGAAGAGGAAAGUGGAAUUCCAUGUGAAGCGGGGAAAUGCGCAGAGAAAUGGAGGAAAACAAGUGGCGAAGGGGACUUUCUGGUCUGUAACUGACGCUGAUGUGCGAAAGCGUGGGGAUCAAACAGG